CUCUUCGGGGAUGAUUAACCGGCGCACGAGUGAGUAACACGUGAGUGACCUGCCUUUUAGACUGGAACAACUUACCGAAAGGUGAGCUAAUGCCGGAUGAGUUAUAUAAGUGCAUGUUUAUAUAGGAAAAGUUGGGGAGACCUGACGCUGAAAGAUGGACUCGCGUCCCAUUAGCUAGUUGGUAGGGUAAUGGCCUACCAAGGCGACGAUGGGUAGCCGGCCUGAGAGGGUGGCCGGCCACACUGGGACUGAGACACGGCCCAGACUCCUACGGGAGGCAGCAGUGGGGAAUUUUGCGCAAUGCUCGUA
Molecule: ribosomal RNA, 309 nt
Filed under: uncultured bacterium
Lineage: Bacteria
Description: bacterial SSU rRNA
Rfam family: Bacterial small subunit ribosomal RNA
Source: RNAcentral